Molecule: ribosomal RNA, 253 nt
Filed under: uncultured bacterium
Lineage: Bacteria
Description: partial 16S ribosomal RNA
Rfam family: Archaeal small subunit ribosomal RNA
Source: RNAcentral
UACCAGCACCCCGAGUGGUCGGGACGAUUAUUGGGCCUAAAGCAUCCGUAGCCGGCCUUACAAGUCCCCCGUUAAAUCCAACUGCUUAACAGAUGGGCUGCGGAGGAUACUAUAAGACUGGGAGGCAGGAGAGGCAAGCGGUACUCAGUGGGUAGGGGUAAAAUCCGUUGAUCCAUUGAAGACCACCAGUGGCGAAGGCGGCUUGCCAGAAUGCGCUCGACGGUGAGGGAUGAAAGCGUGGGGAGCGAACAGG